This 313-nucleotide ribosomal RNA is filed under the name uncultured bacterium. RNAcentral's name for it is "bacterial SSU rRNA". It matches the Rfam family "Bacterial small subunit ribosomal RNA", at positions 28 to 334 of the family's 1533-position model. The record is from RNAcentral.
GAUGAACGCUAGCGACAGGCUUAACACAUGCAAGUCGAGGGGCAGCGAGGGCGUAGCAAUACGCCUGUCGGCGACCGGCGCACUGGUGAGUAACACGUAUGCGACCUGCCCCCCUACAGGGGUAUAACCCGUAGAAAUGCGGACUAAUCCCCCAUAGUCCUGAGUGCUGCAUGGCCUUCAGGGGAAAGGCCAGCCGGUAGGGGAUGGGCAUGCGGCGCAUUAGCUAGUUGGUGGGGUAACGGCCUACCAGGGCGACGAUCAGUAGCCGGCCUGAGAGGGUGAACGGCCACAUUGGGACUGAGACACGGCCCAG